AGUGAACGCUGGCGGCAGGCCUAAUACAUGCAAGUCGAACGGCAGCACGGCAGAGCUUGCUCUGUGGGUGGCGAGUGGCGGACGGGUGAGGAAUACAUGGGAAUCUGCCCAGUCGUGGGGGAUAACGUAGGGAAACUUACGCUAAUACCGCAUGCGCCCUUCGGGGAAAGCCGGGGACCUUCGGGCCUGGCGCGAUUGGAUGAGCCCAUGUCGGAUUAGCUAGUUGGCGGGGUAAUGGCCCACCAAGGCGACGAUCCGUAGCUGGUCUGAGAGGAUGAUCAGCCACACUGGAACUGAGACACGGUCCAGACUCCUACGGGAGGCAGCAGUAGGGAAUAUUGGACAAUGGGCGCAAGCCUGAUCCAGCCAUGCCGCGUGAGUGAAGAAGGCCCUCGGGUUGUAAAGCUCUUUUGUCCGGAAAGAAAAGCGCCGGGUUAAUACCCUGGUGUCCUGACGGUACCGGAAGAAUAAGCACCGGCUAACCUUCGUGCCAGCAGCCG
This 500-nucleotide ribosomal RNA is filed under the name uncultured bacterium. RNAcentral's name for it is "bacterial SSU rRNA". It matches the Rfam family "Bacterial small subunit ribosomal RNA", at positions 29 to 517 of the family's 1533-position model. The record is from RNAcentral.